Molecule: non-coding RNA, 180 nt
Organism: Vicia faba (fava bean)
Lineage: Eukaryota; Viridiplantae; Streptophyta; Magnoliopsida; Fabales; Fabaceae
Source: the annotation of a GenBank genome assembly
AUGUACAGAAUGCAAAUCCAAUUGAUGGGGAGAAUUCUAUUCCAACUGAUGUACAAAAUACAACGCAUAGUGCUGGGGAGAAGUCUGUUCCAACUCAGAGUGCUGUUGUGGCUAACUCAAAGAAAUAGAAAGGAAAUAAGCCAGUUAUCAAAAGAUGGCAAAGUGAAAGGAUUAAGUUGA